GACGAACGCUGGCGGCAUGCCUAAUACAUGCAAGUCGAGCGAACAGAUGAAGUGCUUGCACUUCUGACGUUAGCGGCGAACGGGUGAGUAACACGUAAGGAAUCUACCUAUAAGCGGGGGAUAACAUUCGGAAACGGGUGCUAAUACCGCAUAAUAUCUUCUUCCGCAUGGAAGAAGAUUGAAAGACGGCUCUGCUGUCACUUAUAGAUGACCUUGCGGUGCAUUAGUUAGUUGGUGGGGUAAUGGCCUACCAAGGCGAUGAUGCAUAGCCGACCUGAGAGGGUGAUCGGCCACAUUGGGACUGAGACACGGCCCAAACUCCUACGGGAGGCAGCAGUAGGUAAUCUUCCGCAAUGGGCGAAAGCCUGACGGAGCAAUGCCGCGUGAGUGAAGAAGGCCUUCGGGUCGUAAAACUCUGUUAUAAGAGAAGAACAAAUUGUAGAGUAACUGCUACAGUCUUGACGGUAUCUUAUCAGAAAGCCACGGCUAACUACGUGCCAGCCGCCGCGGUAA
Molecule: ribosomal RNA, 513 nt
Filed under: uncultured bacterium
Lineage: Bacteria
Description: partial 16S ribosomal RNA
Rfam family: Bacterial small subunit ribosomal RNA
Source: RNAcentral